Molecule: long non-coding RNA, 331 nt
Organism: Columba livia (rock pigeon)
Lineage: Eukaryota; Metazoa; Chordata; Aves; Columbiformes; Columbidae
Exons: 3
Source: RefSeq, a predicted model, not a curated record
CAAAAUCCUGAGCGGUAUUGACAAACCACACGAGCGCAGGGUCUGACUGCAUGAUCAGCUGUCUGUGUCUACGCUACACCCUGUUAACCACAAGCAGUGUUAGAGCUAAAUAUAUCUGCAAUGCAGAAACGGGAGAAUGAGAGAACCACGCCGCCAUUUAAGAUAACGUGAAUUACCUUCCCAGAAGGCGAAACCAUCAGAUACGGCAAGCUGAUACCCAACACAUGAACAGAAUUGUGAAGAUUGAUGUCUUAGCUCUGAAAAUAUUUCACUGAAAGAUUUCUUUAGGUAAAUAUUGUUUACCAUAUGAAUAAGUGAAUAUAAAUGUUUU